This 964-nucleotide ribosomal RNA is filed under the name uncultured Acidobacteriota bacterium. RNAcentral describes it as "bacterial SSU rRNA". It matches the Rfam family "Bacterial small subunit ribosomal RNA", at positions 521 to 1482 of the family's 1533-position model. Lineage: Bacteria; Pseudomonadati; Acidobacteriota. The record is from RNAcentral.
UAAUACGGGGGGGGUAAGCGUUGUUCGGAAUUACUGGGCGUAAAGGGCUCGUAGGCGGCCAACUAAGUCAGACGUGAAAUCCCUCAGCUUAACUGGGGAACUGCGUCUGAUACUGGAUGGGUUGGAUUCGGGAGAGGGAUGCGGAAUUCCAGGUGUAGCGGUGAAAUGCGUAGAUAUCUGGAGGAACACCGGUGGCGAAGGCGGCAUACCUGGACCGACAUUGACGCUGAGGAGCGAAAGCCAGGGGAGCAAACGGGAUUAGAUACCCCGGUAGUCCUGGCCCUAAACGAUGAAUGCUUGGUGUAGCGGGUAUCGAUCCCUGCUGUGCCGAAGCUAACGCAUUAAGCAUUCCGCCUGGGGAGUACGGUCGCAAGGCUGAAACUCAAAGGAUUGACGGGGGCCCGCACAAGCGGUGGAGCAUGUGGUUCAAUUCGACGCAACGCGAAGAACCUUACCCAGGCUUGAACUGCGAGUGACCAACUCCGAAAGGGGUCUUCCGCAAGGACACUCGUAGAGGUGCUGCAUGGCUGUCGUCAGCUCGUGUCGUGAGAUGUUGGGUUAAGUCCCGCAACGAGCGCAACCCUUGUCCUCUGUUGCCAUCACGUUAUGGUGGGCACUCUGAGGAGACUGCCGGUGAUAAACCGGAGGAAGGUGGGGAUGACGUCAAGUCAGCAUGGCCUUUAUGUCUGGGGCUACACACGUGCUACAAUGGCCGGUACAAAGCGUCGCAAACUCGCGAGGGGGAGCUAAUCGCAGAAAGCCGGUCUCAGUUCGGAUUGUAGGCUGCAACUCGCCUGCAUGAAGUCGGAGUCGCUAGUAAUCGCAGAUCAGCAACGCUGCGGUGAAUACGUUCCCGGGGCUUGUACACACCGCCCGUCAAGUCAUGAAAGUCGGUAACACCCGAAGCCGGUGGCCUAACCCGUUUGGGAGGGAGCUGUCGAAGGUGGGACUGGUGAUUAGGACU